GUAGGUGAACCUGCGGAAGGAUCAUUAUCAAUAUCAGCGGGCUUCGGCCCCUGCUAUACCCUUGUCUUUUGCGUACCACUUGUUUCCUCGGCGGGCUUGCCUGCCGAUAGGACAAACACAAACCCUUUGUAGUUGCAAUCAGCGUCAGAAAAAAACAAUAAUUAAAACUUUCAACAACGGAUCUCUUGGUUCUGGCAUCGAUGAAGAACGCAGCAUCUGACUGACUGAUCAACUACCGAUCUCGUAUGCC
This 250-nucleotide unclassified non-coding RNA is filed under the name plant metagenome. RNAcentral describes it as "partial contains small subunit ribosomal RNA, internal transcribed spacer 1, and 5.8S ribosomal RNA". The record is from RNAcentral.